This 2669-nucleotide long non-coding RNA is filed under the name Nicotiana benthamiana. RNAcentral describes it as "long non-coding RNA (NBEN_LNC031699)". Lineage: Eukaryota; Viridiplantae; Streptophyta; Magnoliopsida; Solanales; Solanaceae. The record is from RNAcentral.
CAUUUUCCCCUUCUUUCGUCCCUCCUUCCUCUCUCUUCACUCUCUCUCUAUACUCUCCCAGACCCCCGCCGUCUCCGCCCCGCGCCGCCCAGAGGAAUUCGCCACCGGCAGCGGCCAACCUCCAAUCGACCCUAUUUUUUCACCAUCUCUUUGUCUCUUCCUCCUCUUUCCAUAUCCAAAUCCCAAAUCCCUGAAAUCCCCACCAAAAUCUACAAAUCUAGCCAAAUCCGAAACCCUAGACGCCACCCGCUGCUGCUCACCGCCCCAAAUUUCAAAAUUUUAACAACACCGGCAUCCUCUCGCUCCCCUCUUCUCCAUUCCAUGCCUCAAAACCUUCAAAUCCCUCCAGAAUCCAACUGAAAUUCGGUUGAAUUCUGGCAGCAGCCCUCACUGCCACGACCACCACUACCUCAUCAACGCUGAACUCUAAUCCAGGACGAGCACGACCCUGUUGCCUCUUUUUUCUCUUUGAAAAUUUCUGGACUUAACUUUGUCUCGUCAAAGUUCGUGAGUUUUUUGGCAUUUCUCAUCGGAAAAAAAAAGGCGUGGAGGUCGAUUCGCCACCUAGUUGUUUUUUACUACUGGUAUGGAGCCCGAUUGUUUAGGUAAAAUCAUAAUCCCAUGUUCACAUUUUUAAUUUCUCCUUGUUGACUGAUUUUUAGGUUUCUAGUUUAGUUUAAGUUAUAUUUUUUCUUAAUUAAUGAUUAGUCAUCUUUUCAGAAGUUUUGUUGUUUAUUUAUUCGUUUAGGCCAUUGCUUUAGUCUUUUUCCUCUUUUUAUAACUUCUUUUUCCCAGUUUGUGUUUAGGUUUAGUUUAACUUACAUAUUUCAAUUAGUUGUUAAUCUAUGAUUGCAAGUUCGUGUCAGAUUCAUUGACAAUCAUCAAUGAUUAAUUGUUAUUUACACUUAUUGAAUCAUGUAUUAGUUAGUAUGUCAUUUUAGUUUGUCGUGAUGUUCUCGUUUAGUAAUCAGUUAUAUUAAUCCCUUCGAUGUGAAUAUAUGUUUGUUGGUCUUAAUGCUUGUUAUGUUUUCAGACUUCAACUAAAAUUUUGAGGUCUCCAAACUAUAAGUGAGAUAUAAAAACCGUCAAUUCUAGCUUCUUUAAUUUCUUAAUUUGAUCGUUCUUUGUCUUGAAAUUUAGGUUCUGUUAAUCAAUGGUUCAGUUUACUUAUAUUAGUAUAUUUGGAGUUUGGCAAUGAUGUUUAGUCGCUUUUUAGGCUUGAAUCACCUAUUGAAUUGCAGUUUCGAGUUUAUCCUUCUUACAUUGUCUUUGAGUUAGUAGUUCACGUAUAUAAAAAAAAUUAGUGUUAGUCCUAAUUAACUAGAUUAAGUUUAAAGUAGUCAUUUAUUAUAGGUAAGUUAUAUGUUUGAGUCUUGUUGAUUCCUACUUGUUGACUCUUCACUAAUUUUAUUCGAAUUACUAACCGUCUGAACUAGAUUGAAUUUUGUUUCUCUUUGUGGACCAGUUAUCUUUGAAUUUAGUUUGAGAAAUUAAGAGGAAAGGGAUAGAAAAGAGAAUACUUGAGAGGAGGGUUCUUUGUUCUUGCUUUUUGCUGUUGCGAACUGUUUUGGAUCACAAUGCUUCAAAAUUCUGUCAGUAUUUGUUGAGAACAACUGUUCAUUGGACAGAAAUCUGAUUUUGGACAGGUUUUUGAUAAAAAUCUAUCAUUUUGGACAGAUUUUUGGCCAAACAAAAUCUGUCCCAAGCCCCCCCCCCCCCCAUAAAAANNNNNNNNNNNNNNNNNNNNNNNNNNNNNNNNNNNNNNNNNNNNNNNNNNNNNNNNNNNNNNNNNNNNNNCCAAGCCCCCCCCCCCCCCUUCCUUAAAAAGAGGAGCUCUUUCCUCAUUUCAAGAACAUCUUGGACUCUAAAAAUACACUUCUUCCACACUUAGAAAAAGAAUACAACUUUAAGAUUAAAAAGAGCAGCUAAACACCUAAAUAGUAAGCUGAAAAUUCUGAGCUAGAGUGACUGAUUUCUCAAAUGCAAAACCUUUAAGAAAAUAGAGGGAUCUUGUGAGGAAUUUCUAGAGGGUCUCAUUUCUAGUUUCAAUUGCUUUGUUGGUCAUCUCUGGUUCAUUUUCUUUUGUCUUAGAGCUGUUGGUUGCUGUUAUGUUGCUGUGUUGCUGCUUGUUCUGAUGUAAUCUGGAAAGAGUUGAUUUGCUGAAUUUUCUUCUUCUUUUUGCUGUCCAGGUAACUUUUAAGCCAUGUAAACUCCUAAAAAUCAAGUUGGAACGAAAGCAAUGGUGUUUGAAAAUAUUAGCAGCUUCAUUCUUGCAUACUUUUGAAUAUUGAAUAAUGUCAUGAAUGUGUGUUAGUUAAUUAAACUGUGCCAAGCGUCUUUAGUCUCUUGCCAAAGUUUAGGAUACAAUUCUGCUUGGCCUCAGCUGUGUGGUUGUAGGGAGUAUCCCUCAGUGGUGUGGUUGUGGAAAAUGAGUAUGUACAAUAUUUUGAACCAUUCAGUUUCAUGUGUCACUCUGUUUGUUGUCCAACUAAACUCUUUUUAGUCAUUGACCACUGUUUGGUCAUACUUAUAAUUUUAUUUUAAAGCUAAGUGGUCUCAUUUACAGUAGUAGUCUUGCUUAGACUUUUGCAAAUGGAGUUUUAGUUAAGGUUGAAUGAAUAUGGUUAAUAUAGUUUCUUUGUUUCUCUUGCAAUAAAAGAGGUUAUUUU